This is a regulatory RNA element of Amycolatopsis methanolica 239, 108 nucleotides long. It matches the Rfam family "mraW RNA". Lineage: Bacteria; Bacillati; Actinomycetota; Actinomycetes; Pseudonocardiales; Pseudonocardiaceae. The record is from Rfam.
GGCGACGGAUGUCGUGAGGCCUCUGUCCGCUCAGCGGCCCUGGUGCACCUUCCCCGGCACCAGGUCCGCAGCGGGCGGGCGGGGACCUGACGGCAUCCGGACGACGGU